RNAcentral lists this ribosomal RNA (487 nucleotides) under uncultured bacterium. RNAcentral describes it as "bacterial SSU rRNA". It matches the Rfam family "Bacterial small subunit ribosomal RNA", at positions 28 to 507 of the family's 1533-position model. The record is from RNAcentral.
GAUAAACGCUAGCGGCAGGCCUAACACAUGCAAGUCGAGGGGCAUCACGGGGUAGCAAUACUCUGGUGGCGACCGGCGCACGGGUGAGUAACGCGUAUGUAACCUACCCUGUACUGGGGGAUAACCCGGAGAAAUUCGGACUAAUAUCCCAUGGAAAUAUUGAAAGGCAUCUUUUAAUAUUUAAAGUUCCGGCGGUACGGGAUGGGCAUGCGUAACAUUAGCUGGUUGGUAAGGUAACGGCUUACCAAGGCUUUGAUGUUUAGGGGUCCUGAGAGGGUGAUCCCCCACACUGGUACUGAGACACGGACCAGACUCCUACGGGAGGCAGCAGUGAGGAAUAUUGGUCAAUGGGCGCAAGCCUGAACCAGCCAUCCCGCGUGCAGGAAGACGGCCCUAUGGGUUGUAAACUGCUUUUCCAGGGGGAGAAACUUGCGUACGCGUUGCGCAAUUGACGGUACCCUGGGAAUAAGCAUCGGCUAACUCCGUG